This 468-nucleotide ribosomal RNA is filed under the name uncultured bacterium. RNAcentral describes it as "bacterial SSU rRNA". It matches the Rfam family "Bacterial small subunit ribosomal RNA", at positions 773 to 1243 of the family's 1533-position model. The record is from RNAcentral.
AGCGAAUAGAUACCCCGGUAGUCCACGCCCUAAACGAUGUCAACUAGGUGUUGGAGGAGCAAUCCUUUGGUACCGCAGCUAAACGCGUGAAGUUGACCGCCUGGGGAGUACGGUCGCAAGAUUAAAACUACAAAGGAAUUGACGGGGACCCGGCACAAGCGGUGGAUGAUGUGGAUUAAAUUCGAUGCAACGCGAACAACCUUACCUACCCUUGACAUGUCCGGAAGGCUGCUGAAAGGCGGCUGUGCCCGAAAGGGAACUGGAACACAGGUGCUGCAUGGCUGUCGUCAGCUCGUGUCGUGAGAUGUUGGGUUAAGUCCCGCAACGAGCGCAACCCUUGUCCUUAGUUGCUACGCAAGGGCACUCUAAUGAGACUGCCGGUGACAAACCGGAGGAAGGUGGGAUGACGUCAAGUCCUCAUGGCCCUUAUGGGUAGGGCUUCACACGUCAUACAAUGGUCGGUACAGA